RNAcentral lists this ribosomal RNA (460 nucleotides) under uncultured bacterium. Its description in RNAcentral is "partial 16S ribosomal RNA". It matches the Rfam family "Bacterial small subunit ribosomal RNA", at positions 338 to 795 of the family's 1533-position model. The record is from RNAcentral.
CCUACGAGUGGCAGCAGUGAGGAAUAUUGGUCAAUGGGCGCGAGCCUGAACCAGCCAAGUCGCGUGAGGGAAGACGGUCCUAUGGAUUGUAAACCUCUUUUGUCAGGGAGCAAAAGACGCCACGCGUGGCGUUCCGAGAGUACCCGAAGAAAAAGCAUCGGCUAACUCCGUGCCAGCAGCCGCGGUAAUACGGAGGAGGCGAGCGUUAUCCGGAUUUAUUGGGUUUAAAGGGAGCGUAGGCCGGUUGUUAAGGGCAUGGUGAAAGUUCGCGGGUCAACCGUAAUCUUGCAGUUGAAACUGGCAUUCGUGAGUACAUGAGAGGUGGGCGGAAUUCGUGGUGUAGCGGUGAAAUGCUUAGAUAUCACGAAGAACUCCGAUUGCGAAGGCAGCUCACUGGCCUUCAACUGACGCUGAGGCUCGAAAGUGUGGGUAUCAAACAGGAUUAGAUACCCCUGUAGUC